Molecule: non-coding RNA, 80 nt
Organism: Cucumis melo (muskmelon)
Lineage: Eukaryota; Viridiplantae; Streptophyta; Magnoliopsida; Cucurbitales; Cucurbitaceae
Source: Rfam
GUUCCCAGUGAUGAUUAACUUGACCAUGCUAAUGCUGAUCAAUUUGUGAUUGUUCUUUUCCUUAAUUUUCUGAGGGAACU